RNAcentral lists this RNase MRP RNA (458 nucleotides) under Ustilaginoidea virens. RNAcentral describes it as "RNase MRP". It matches the Rfam family "RNase MRP". From Rfam's summary of the family: RNase MRP is an enzymatically active ribonucleoprotein with two distinct roles in eukaryotes. The record is from Rfam by way of RNAcentral. Lineage: Eukaryota; Fungi; Ascomycota; Sordariomycetes; Hypocreales; Clavicipitaceae.
CCCUCGGUCAACAAAUCGCCAUUCGAAGCUGUCAAACAGGGACGUUCAGCCUUGCGCUAAGCGUCUCAUCCUUCGGGAUACUAUGCUUUGGGAGAAAGUCCCCGGACGUCUCCAUUUUGGAGCUUGCGGAAACGCGCCGCCAUAGAAGCACUGCGGCUGACCUUUUGCGCCUUGGCCCUCUUCGCGGACAUCCGCCCUUCUCGUCGCUACAUCUGUUCUUCGAGUUCGAUUGGAAACCUGCUCUGCGUCUCUUGACCCUUUGGAUGAAGAUAUGAGUCCGCGUUGGGAUGAUGUGGUCGGGACCUUCUAAUACCGGGCGAGCGUUCAGAUGACGGGUAGCCGUGUGAUGACGUGAGUUGUGGCUUCGGGUGCUGAGGACUAGUUGUCGAAGUCGAUAGGUAUGCGAUUGCUCGGCUUUCUGGCCGAGUUACUCGAUGGGGCUUAUUCUUGAGGCGAGG